Molecule: ribosomal RNA, 236 nt
Filed under: Salmonella enterica subsp. enterica serovar Muenchen
Lineage: Bacteria; Pseudomonadati; Pseudomonadota; Gammaproteobacteria; Enterobacterales; Enterobacteriaceae
Also listed under: 10 other names
Description: partial 23S ribosomal RNA
Rfam family: Bacterial large subunit ribosomal RNA
Source: RNAcentral
GUACGUACAAGCAGUGGGAGCACAGGUUUACCUGUGUGACUGCGUACCUUUUGUAUAAUGGGUCAGCGACUUAUAUUCUGUAGCAAGGUUAACCGAAUAGGGGAGCCGGAGGGAAACCGAGUCUUAACCGGGCGUUAAGUUGCAGGGUAUAGACCCGAAACCCGGUGAUCUAGCCAUGGGCAGGUUGAAGGUUGGGUAACACUAACUGGAGGACCGAACCGACUAAUGUUGAAAAA